UGGGCGUAAGCGUGCGCAGGCGGCUUUUUAAGCCAGAUGUGAAAUCCCCGGGCUUAACCUGGGAACUGCAUUUGGAACUGGAAGGCUAGAGUGCGUCAGAGGGGGGUGGAAUUCCACGUGUAGCAGUGAAAUGCGUAGAGAUGUGGAGGAACACCGAUGGCGAAGGCAGCCCCCUGGGAUGACACUGACGCUCAUGCACGAAAGCGUGGGGAGCAAACAGGAUUAGAUACCCUGGUAGUCCACGCCCUAAACGAUGUCAACUGGUUGUUGGGGGAGUGAAAUCCUUCAGUAACGAAGCUAACGCGUGAAGUUGACCGCCUGGGGAGUACGGUCGCAAGAUUAAAACUCAAAGGAAUUGACGGGGACCCGCACAAGCGGUGGAUGAUGUGGAUUAAUUCGAUGCAACGCGAAGAACCUUACCUACCCUUGACAUGUCCGGAACUUGCCAGAGAUGGCUUGGUGCCCGAAAGGGAACCGGAACACAGGUGCUGCAUGGCUGUCGUCAGCUCGUGUCGUGAGAUGUUGGGUUAAGUCCCGCAACGAGCGCAACCCUUGUCCUUAGUUGCUACGCAAGAGCACUCUAAGGAGACUGCCGGUGACAAACCGGAGGAAGGUGGGGAUGACGUCAAGUCCUCAUGGCCCUUAUGGGUAGGGCUUCACACGUCAUACAAUGGUCGGUACAGAGGGUUGCCAAGCCGCGAGGUGGAGCCAAUCCCACAAAGCCGAUCGUAGUCCGGAUUGUUCUCUGCAACUCGAGAGCAUGAAGUCGGAAUCGCUAGUAAUCGCAGGUCAGCAUACUGCGGUGAAUACGUUCCCGGGUCUUGUACACACCGCCCGUCACACCAUGGGAGUGGGUUGCUCCAGAAGUAGGUAGCUUA
Molecule: ribosomal RNA, 878 nt
Filed under: uncultured bacterium
Lineage: Bacteria
Description: bacterial SSU rRNA
Rfam family: Bacterial small subunit ribosomal RNA
Source: RNAcentral